This 485-nucleotide ribosomal RNA is filed under the name uncultured bacterium. RNAcentral describes it as "bacterial SSU rRNA". It matches the Rfam family "Bacterial small subunit ribosomal RNA", at positions 327 to 793 of the family's 1533-position model. The record is from RNAcentral.
UGACCAGUACUCCUACGGGGAGGCAGCAGUGGGGGAAUAUUGCACAAUCGGGCGCAAGCCUGAUGCAGCCAUGCCGCGUGGUGUGAAGAAGGCCUUCGGGUUGUUAAAGCACUUUCAGUCGUGAGGAAGGUAGUGUAGUUAAUAGCUGCACUUAUUUGACGUUAGCGACACGAAGAAGCACCGGCUAAACUCCGUGCCAGCAGCCGCGGUAAUACGGAGGGUGCGAGCGUUAAUCGGAAUUACUGGGCGUAAAGCGCAUGCAGGUGGUUUGUUAAGUCAGAUGUGAAAGCCCGGGGCUCAACCUCGGAAUAGCAUUUGAAACUGGCAGACUAGAGUACUGUAGAGGGGGGUAGGAAUUUCUAGGUGUAGCGGUGAAAUGCGUAGAGAUCUGAAGGAAUACCGGUGGCGAAGGCGGCCCCCUGGACAGAUACUGACACUCAGAUGCGAAAGCGUGGGGAGCAAACAGGAUUAGAUACCCCUGGUAG